RNAcentral lists this ribosomal RNA (485 nucleotides) under uncultured bacterium. RNAcentral's name for it is "partial 16S ribosomal RNA". It matches the Rfam family "Bacterial small subunit ribosomal RNA", at positions 29 to 523 of the family's 1533-position model. The record is from RNAcentral.
AGUGAACGCUGGCGGCGUGCUUAACACAUGCAAGUCGAACGAGGACGGAAUAUAGCUUGCUAUAUUUGUCAGCUAAGUGGCGCACGGGUGAGUAAUAUAUAGAUAACCUGCCCUUAAGAAAGGAAUGACAGUUGGAAACGACUGCUAAUGCCCUAUAUGCCUUUAAUACAUAAGUAUGCAAGGGAAACGCUUUAGUGCUGAAGGAUGGGUCUGUAUGGUAUCAGCUUGUUGGUGAGGUAAUGGCUCACCAAGGCUAUGACGCCUAACUGGUUUGAGAGGAUGAUCAGUCACACUGGAACUGAGACACGGUCCAGACUCCUACGGGAGGCAGCAGUGGGGAAUAUUGCACAAUGGACGAAAGUCUGAUGCAGCAACGCCGCGUGGAGGAUGACACAUUUCGGUGCGUAAACUCCUUUUAUAUAGGAAGAUAAUGACGGUACUAUAUGAAUAAGCACCGGCUAACUCCGUGCCAGCCGCCGCCGUAA